CAUAGGUUAAUGAGGCGAACCGGGGGAACUGAAACAUCUAAGUACCCCGAGGAAAAGAAAUCAACCGAGAUUCCCCCAGUAGCGGCGAGCGAACGGGGAGGAGCCCAGAGCCUGAAUCAGUGUGUGUGUUAGUGGAAGCGUCUGGAAAGGCGCGCGAUACAGGGUGACAGCCCCGUACACAAAAAUGCACAUGCUGUGAGCUCGAUGAGUAGGGCGGGACACGUGGUAUCCUGUCUGAAUAUGGGGGGACCAUCCUCCAAGGCUAAAUACUCCUGACUGACCGAUAGUGAACCAGUACCGUGAGGGAAAGGCGAAAAGAACCCCGGCGAGGGGAGUGAAAAAGAACCUGAAACCGUGUACGUACAAGCAGUGGGAGCCUCUUAAUGGGGUGACUGCGUACCUUUUGUAUAAUGGGUCAGCGACUUAUAUUCUGUAGCAAGGUUAACCGAAUAGGGGAGCCGAAGGGAAACCGAGUCUUAACUGGGCGUUAAGUUGCAGGGUAUAGACCCGAAACCCGGUGAUCUAGCCAUGGGCAGGUUGAAGGUUGGGUAACACUAACUGGAGGACCGAACCGACUAAUGUUGAAAAAUUAGCGGAUGACUUGUGGCUGGGGGUGAAAGGCCAAUCAAACCGGGAGAUAGCUGGUUCUCCCCGAAAGCUAUUUAGGUAGCGCCUCGUGAAUUCAUCUCCGGGGGUAGAGCACUGUUUCGGCAAGGGGGUCAUCCCGACUUACCAACCCGAUGCAAACUGCGAAUACCGGAGAAUGUUAUCACGGGAGACACACGGCGGGUGCUAACGUCCGUCGUGAAGAGGGAAACAACCCAGACCGCCAGCUAAGGUCCCAAAGUCAUGGUUAAGUGGGAAACGAUGUGGGAAGGCCCAGACAGCCAGGAUGUUGGCUUAGAAGCAGCCAUCAUUUAAAGAAAGCGUAAUAGCUCACUGGUCGAGUCGGCCUGCGCGGAAGAUGUAACGGGGCUAAACCAUGCACCGAAGCUGCGGCAGCGACACUAUGUGUUGUUGGGUAGGGGAGCGUUCUGUAAGCCUGUGAAGGUGGCCUGUGAGGGUUGCUGGAGGUAUCAGAAGUGCGAAUGCUGACAUAAGUAACGAUAAAGCGGGUGAAAAGCCCGCUCGCCGGAAGACCAAGGGUUCCUGUCCAACGUUAAUCGGGGCAGGGUGAGUCGACCCCUAAGGCGAGGCCGAAAGGCGUAGUCGAUGGGAAACAGGUUAAUAUUCCUGUACUUGGUGUUACUGCGAAGGGGGGACGGAGAAGGCUAUGUUGGCCGGGCGACGGUUGUCCCGGUUUAAGCGUGUAGGCUGGUUUUCCAGGCAAAUCCGGAAAACCAAGGCUGAGGCGUGAUGACGAGGCACUACGGUGCUGAAGUGACAAAUGCCCUGCUUCCAGGAAAAGCCUCUAAGCAUCAGGUAACAUCAAAUCGUACCCCAAACCGACACAGGUGGUCAGGUAGAGAAUACCAAGGCGCUUGAGAGAACUCGGGUGAAGGAACUAGGCAAAAUGGUGCCGUAACUUCGGGAGAAGGCACGCUGAUAUGUAGGUGAAGCGACUUGCUCGUGGAGCUGAAAUCAGUCGAAGAUACCAGCUGGCUGCAACUGUUUAUUAAAAACACAGCACUGUGCAAACACGAAAGUGGACGUAUACGGUGUGACGCCUGCCCGGUGCCGGAAGGUUAAUUGAUGGGGUUAGCGGUAACGCGAAGCUCUUGAUCGAAGCCCCGGUAAACGGCGGCCGUAACUAUAACGGUCCUAAGGUAGCGAAAUUCCUUGUCGGGUAAGUUCCGACCUGCACGAAUGGCGUAAUGAUGGCCAGGCUGUCUCCACCCGAGACUCAGUGAAAUUGAACUCGCUGUGAAGAUGCAGUGUACCCGCGGCAAGACGGAAAGACCCCGUGAACCUUUACUAUAGCUUGACACUGAACAUUGAGCCUUGAUGUGUAGGAUAGGUGGGAGGCUUUGAAGUGUGGACGCCAGUCUGCAUGGAGCCGACCUUGAAAUACCACCCUUUAAUGUUUGAUGUUCUAACGUUGGCCCCUAAUCGGGGUUGCGGACAGUGUCUGGUGGGUAGUUUGACUGGGGCGGUCUCCUCCUAAAGAGUAACGGAGGAGCACGAAGGUUGGCUAAUCCUGGUCGGACAUCAGGAGGUUAGUGCAAUGGCAUAAGCCAGCUUGACUGCGAGCGUGACGGCGCGAGCAGGUGCGAAAGCAGGUCAUAGUGAUCCGGUGGUUCUGAAUGGAAGGGCCAUCGCUCAACGGAUAAAAGGUACUCCGGGGAUAACAGGCUGAUACCGCCCAAGAGUUCAUAUCGACGGCGGUGUUUGGCACCUCGAUGUCGGCUCAUCACAUCCUGGGGCUGAAGUAGGUCCCAAGGGUAUGGCUGUUCGCCAUUUAAAGUGGUACGCGAGCUGGGUUUAGAACGUCGUGAGACAGUUCGGUCCCUAUCUGCCGUGGGCGCUGGAGAACUGAGGGGGGCUGCUCCUAGUACGAGAGGACCGGAGUGGACG
Molecule: ribosomal RNA, 2514 nt
Filed under: Escherichia coli
Lineage: Bacteria; Pseudomonadati; Pseudomonadota; Gammaproteobacteria; Enterobacterales; Enterobacteriaceae
Description: partial 23S ribosomal RNA
Rfam family: Bacterial large subunit ribosomal RNA
Source: RNAcentral